This 253-nucleotide ribosomal RNA is filed under the name uncultured bacterium. Its description in RNAcentral is "partial 16S ribosomal RNA". It matches the Rfam family "Bacterial small subunit ribosomal RNA", at positions 524 to 776 of the family's 1533-position model. The record is from RNAcentral.
UACGUAGGGUGCAAGCGUUGUCCGGAAUUAUUGGGCGUAAAGAGCUCGUAGGUGGCCUGUCGCGUCGGCUGUGAAAACUCGGGGCUCAACUCCGAGCUUGCAGUCGAUACGGGCAGGCUAGAGUUCGGCAGGGGAGACUGGAAUUCCCGGUGUAGUGGUGAAAUGCGUAGAUAUCGGGAGGAACACCAGUGGCGAAGGCGACUUCCUGGCCUGUUCUUGACGCUGAGGCGCGAAAGCUAGGGGAGCAAACGGG